AUACUUACCUGGCAAGGGAGAUACCAUGAUCACAAUGGUGGUUUUCUCGAGGUGAGGUUAAUCCAUUGCACUAUAGAUGUGCUGACCCCUGCAAUUUCCCCCAAAUGUGGGAAACUCAACUGCAGAAUUUGUGGUAGUCGGGGACUGUGUUUGCGCUCUGUCCUGG
This is a small nuclear RNA of Sorex fumeus (smoky shrew), 166 nucleotides long. RefSeq annotates it as U1 spliceosomal RNA. Lineage: Eukaryota; Metazoa; Chordata; Mammalia; Eulipotyphla; Soricidae. The record is from RefSeq and is a predicted model, not a curated record. The transcript has a single exon.